GUAGGUGGCAAGCGUUGUCCGGAAUUAUUGGGCGUAAAGCGCGCGCAGGGCGGUCCUUUAAGUCUGAUGUGAAAGCCCACGGCUCAACCGUGGAGGGUCAUUGGAAACUGGGGGACUUGAGUACAGAAGAGGAAAGCGGAAUUCCAAGUGUAGCGGUGAAAUGCGUAGAGAUUUGGAGGAACACCAGUGGCGAAGGCGGCUUUCUGGUCUGUAACUGACGCUGAGGCGCGAAAGCGUGGGGAGCAAACAGGAUUAGGUACCCUGGUAGUCCACGCCGUAAACGAUGAGUGCUAAGUGUUAGGGGGUUUCCGCCCCUUAGUGCUGCAGCUAACGCAUUAAGCACUCCGCCUGGGGAGUACGGCCGCAAAGGCUG
Molecule: ribosomal RNA, 373 nt
Filed under: uncultured organism
Description: partial 16S ribosomal RNA
Rfam family: Bacterial small subunit ribosomal RNA
Source: RNAcentral